RNAcentral lists this ribosomal RNA (698 nucleotides) under Fuligo candida. Its description in RNAcentral is "SSU rRNA". It matches the Rfam family "Eukaryotic small subunit ribosomal RNA", at positions 982 to 1673 of the family's 1831-position model. The record is from RNAcentral. Lineage: Eukaryota; Evosea; Eumycetozoa; Physariida; Physaraceae.
AGAGAAAGUUAAGAGUUCGAAGACGAUCAGAUACCGUCGUAGUCUCAACUAUAAAUGAUACAGACCAGGGAUAGGACACUGUCCAUCUCGACUCCUCCCGGACCUUGGAGAAAUCAGAGUCUUUGGGUUCUGGGGGGAGUAUGGUCGCAAGGCUGAAACUUAAAGGAAUUGGCGGAAGGGCACACAAAGAGUGGAACCUGCGGCUUAAUUUGACUCAACACGGGAAAACUCACCAGGUCCGGAUACACGUAUGAAAGUCAAGCUGAAAGACUUUACUCAAUGAUGUAAGUGGUGGUGCAUGGUCGUUCGUAGUUCGUGGAUUGAUUUGUCUGGUCUAUUCCGAUAACGAGCGAGACCCCAACGUUCCUAAUAGGGGUGGCAGCCCGACUGGUCGCAAGGCCAGUUAGCACGCCGCCUGAGAUUCGCUUCUUAGACGUAUCAGAGCCGAUAAGGUUCUUGAAAUGGGUUAAUAACAGGUCAGUCAUGCCCUUAGAUGUUCUGGGCCGCACGCGCGUUACAAUGGCAUGUAAAGCGAGUGCUUCUCAAAGGCGUAUCCGGGGCCGAAAGGCCCUGGUAACCCUUAAUCCCUGCCUUGACUGGGAUAGAUCUUUGCAAUUAUUGGUCUCUAACGAGGAAUUUUAGUAGUCGUAGGUCAUUAACCUGCGACGAAUGCGUCCCUGCCUUUUGUACACACCGCC